RNAcentral lists this ribosomal RNA (278 nucleotides) under uncultured bacterium. Its description in RNAcentral is "partial 16S ribosomal RNA". It matches the Rfam family "Bacterial small subunit ribosomal RNA", at positions 28 to 334 of the family's 1533-position model. The record is from RNAcentral.
GAUGAACGCUGGCGGUAUGCCUUACACAUGCAAGUCGAACGAGAGCGCAAGCUCGAGUGGCAGACGGGUGAGUAACACGUGAGAAUUUACUUCUAGGAAGGGGACAACAGUUGGAAACGGCUGCUAAUACCCUAUAUGUCAUUUGAUGAAAGGUUUUUCCGCCUAGAAAAAAGCUCGCGGCUGAUUAGCUAGUUGGUGAGGUAAGGGCUCACCAAGGCGAAGAUCAGUAGCUGGUUUGAGAGGAUGAUCAGCCACACUGGAACUGAGACACGGUCCAG